Molecule: ribosomal RNA, 684 nt
Filed under: uncultured Vibrionaceae bacterium
Lineage: Bacteria; Pseudomonadati; Pseudomonadota; Gammaproteobacteria; Vibrionales; Vibrionaceae
Description: bacterial SSU rRNA
Rfam family: Bacterial small subunit ribosomal RNA
Source: RNAcentral
GCUAACACAUGCAAGUCGACGCGGAAACGACACUAACAAUCCUUCGGGUGCGUUAAUGGGCGUCGAGCGGCGGACGGGUGAGUAAUGCCUAGGAAAUUGCCUUGAUGUGGGGGAUAACCAUUGGAAACGAUGGCUAAUACCGCAUAAUGCCUACGGGCCAAAGAGGGGGACCUUCGGGCCUCUCGCGUCAAGAUAUGCCUAGGUGGGAUUAGCUAGUUGGUGAGGUAAUGGCUCACCAAGGCGACGAUCCCUAGCUGGUCUGAGAGGAUGAUCAGCCACACUGGAACCGAGACACGGUCCAGACUCCUACGGGAGGCAGCAGUGGGGAAUAUUGCACAAUGGGCGAAAGCCUGAUGCAGCCAUGCCGCGUGUAUGAAGAAGGCCUUCGGGUUGUAAAGUACUUUCAGUUGUGAGGAAGGGGGUAACGUUAAUAGCGCUAUCUCUUGACGUUAGCAACAGAAGAAGCACCGGCUAACUCCGUGCCAGCAGCCGCGGUAAUACGGAGGGUGCGAGCGUUAAUCGGAAUUACUGGGCGUAAAGCGCACGCAGGUGGUUCAUUAAGUCAGAUGUGAAAGCCCGGGGCUCAACCUCGGAACUGCAUUUGAAACUGGUGAACUAGAGUACUGUAGAGGGGGGUAGAAUUUCAGGUGUAGCGGUGAAAUGCGUACAGAUCUGAAGGAAUAC